GUUAGUUCUUCGGAAGGGAUUGGCAGUUACAAACACAAACCGUCUAGAAAAAGCAAGUAGUGGAUUACAUUCACCCAACAGCAAUAUUUCAACAGAGACUUCGUCUAAGCAAGUGAACAGCAAUCUCCAAUCACCAUGAAUAAAGUUCUGCUGAUUGUGCUGGUGUUGGCUGUGCUGAUGGGCCUGACAUGCGCUAUGCCACAGGUGAUCAUAACACGCCAGAGAAAAUUCCCCGGAGAGAGGCGCCUGGGUACUGUGAACUAUGGCCAGUACCGCUUCGGCAAGAGAGGGUAUCAGAGGAAGAACCAUUCUAGAAAGAACUGAGAAGGAAAAUACUAAAAAACGACGUAAUUUGUGGGCAAUGACCCCCCGCCGACCAAAGCCUCCUUGGGGGAAAGGGAAGGGUAGAAAGAGGGGGGAAGGGAGGGGAAAGGAGGCUUUGGUAAGUAGGAAGUAAACAAGAUCACUCCGUAGACUUUAGUAGGCGCCUCGGCAACCGUUGAAGACAGACCAUAUAAGUCGAAACGCUCCGUGGGUACGAAUUAUCAAGCAAUACAGUCGCAAGCAAAAGGCAGAGAGGAAGACACUUGAAGCCAGUGACUGCAGGCGAGAUAUGACGAGACCCUGAUCGCUUCGCUAACACCGCUUUUUCAUCAUAUUCCUAAAGGGUUCAUUGUUAUCCUACAACACUGAAGACUACCUGAAGUGUAUCUAAAGUCUUGAAGUCUGAGAGUCUGAAGUUUGGUUCAAAGUUUGGGUUCAGAAAAUUGCUGGGACUUCAGUUUCAGUCUGAAGUUUGGCUCAAAGUCUGGGUUCAGAAGGGUGUUGGACUUCAGCUUCAGGAUAGAAUGAUUGUGUAUAGCUGAAUGGUAAUAUUUAUAUAAUAGCAGAGCUUAUAAUGACUGUCUGCUGAAUGCCUAGUGAUAUUUUGUUGUUUUGUUUACUGAAUAUUCUUGAGUGUGUAUGUUUUAUUUAUCAACACUGUACAGAAACGAAUCACAAGUAUUCGAUAUUAUUUUUGCUAAUAGAUUGUUAUUCUUGUUAUGUAGUUACAUAUUUUAUAUAGUUAUUAAACGGUUGACUAUUUUGUAAAUACUUUAGCGCUGUAAAUUAAAAGUAUUUUCUUAUAAUAUAUAUAUAUUUUACUAAAGGACCGAAGAUACAAAGUUUAUGUAAUAUUAAUAAAUCAAUGACAUGCUGAAUUUUGUAGCUAUCAUGAUUAACGAUUUAGAAAAUUCCAAAACGUAUUAAUCACGAAAUAAAUGUUAAAAUAUGAAAAACAAAGAGAACGAUGAUAAAUAAACGAAUAAUAAAAAAAGUAAAUAAAGGAAAAUCCACAAUG
Long non-coding RNA from Penaeus monodon (black tiger shrimp), 1342 nucleotides. RefSeq lists it as uncharacterized. The transcript has 5 exons. The record is from RefSeq and is a predicted model, not a curated record. NCBI's taxonomy places the organism in Eukaryota, Metazoa, Arthropoda, Malacostraca, Decapoda, Penaeidae.